Molecule: long non-coding RNA, 1093 nt
Filed under: Phoenix dactylifera (date palm)
Lineage: Eukaryota; Viridiplantae; Streptophyta; Magnoliopsida; Arecales; Arecaceae
Description: long non-coding RNA (PDAC_LNC008127)
Source: RNAcentral
GCCCUGUUAGGAAAUUUUUAAUUUCUUGGGCUGGUGAAUGGCGAUAGCACUUCAUGUGUCCCUUCUCUCUGAUUACAUAUUGGAUCUUUCUAUUUAUUUUUGUUUGAUUAAUUGUUCUGUUAUUCAUGUAAUCAUCGACUGUAAUACAUUGCAUCAAACCUGCUAAACUAUUCUAAACAAUUAAAACUAUGGAUUGUCAAAGUUAGGUGAGAUUCUUGAUUGAGUAGAAAUGACUUCGAUCAUUUCUUACACGUUCUGCUCUUCGGUUAAAUGAAGAAAAGAAAAGAAUGGUUAAUCUAUGAAGAAAAGUUAUGUUAUCAACAUGUUUUGGUUUACUUUGAGAGCACAUAACUAAUUCAAUCAUUUCACUUUGUUUCAGAUAAUUAAGGUUUGAUUUUAGGUCAAAGCAAGAGAAGACACUAGUGAACUAUUGGUAUUCUCUGAAAGCAAUACAUCACUUUACAUGGGUGGACAUCAGUUGAUCAAAAGAGUCAUUACUCAAAUAACUUGAAUAUGUAAAAGCAUGUCAGUAACACUUAAACAGAUAAGAUCCUUUCCAUCCCCUCACUAAGAUCAUCUACAUUAAUUACUUCUAGUUCCUUCCUUUCUAUUGACUUGUCAAGUGGUGAUUCUCUAAUUGUACAGAUCUGUUGAUUUAAUUCAGCUAUCUAUUUGCGUAUUCUAUCUCCACGAUCUGGAAGUUUUGAAACCAGGGCCUGUAACCCAUUUUUUCCAGGGGUUAGCAACUAGUCAGAGAUCACAAACAUGUACGUGAGCAUGCACAAAAUAAAGACUUUGAGAAUUCUACCUUGUCUGCCAAAGUUUUAGAUAAACGUUUGAUUCUCUCCUCAAUGUUCUCAGGACUGUCUUUUGCUUCACUUGGUGAAGUCCUGGGAGUAUAUGUUCUAGAAGUGAACUUCUGAUCUUUUGGGUUGAGCGCAUAAGCUGCCCUGUUAAAACAUAAAAUGACCAUUGGUUACCACUCUUCUCUGGUAGAUUAAGCAUAAUAAGUUUCCAGUUCAUACCCAUUCCCUGCACAUUUGUGAUAAAUGAUGACCCUGAUGUUGAACUUCUAACAAUUCUGUUUCCCAUC